CCCAUGUGAGUUCGCUUACAGUCGAGCGGAUGACGGGAGCUUGCUCCUUGAUUAGCGGCGGACGGGUGAGUAAUGCCUAGGAAUCUGCCUGGUAGUGGGGGACAACGUUCCGAAAGGAGCGCUAAUACCGCAUACGUCCUACGGGAGAAAGUGGGGGAUCUUCGGACCUCACGCUAUCAGAUGAGCCUAGGUCGGAUUAGCUAGUUGGUGAGGUAAAGGCUCACCAAGGCGACGAUCCGUAACUGGUCUGAGAGGAUGAUCAGUCACACUGGAACUGAGACACGGUCCAGACUCCUACGGGAGGCAGCAGUGGGGAAUAUUGGACAAUGGGCGAAAGCCUGAUCCAGCCAUGCCGCGUGUGUGAAGAAGGUCUUCGGAUUGUAAAGCACUUUAAGUUGGGAGGAAGGGCAGUAAGUUAAUACCUUGCUGUUUUGACGUUACCGACAGAAUAAGCACCGGCUAACUCUGUGCCAGCAGCCGCGGUAAUACAGAGGGUGCAAGCGUUAAUCGGAAUUACUGGGCGUAAAGCGCGCGUAGGUGGUUCGUUAAGUUGGAUGUGAAAGCCCCGGGCUCAACCUGGGAACUGCAUCCAAAACUGGCGAGCUAGAGUAUGGUAGAGGGUGGUGGAAUUUCCUGUGUAGCGGUGAAAUGCGUAGAUAUAGGAAGGAACACCCGUGGCGAAGGCGACCACCUGGACUGAUACUGACACCGAGGUGCGAAAGCGUGGGGAGCAAACACGAUUAGAUAC
Molecule: ribosomal RNA, 748 nt
Filed under: Pseudomonas monteilii
Lineage: Bacteria; Pseudomonadati; Pseudomonadota; Gammaproteobacteria; Pseudomonadales; Pseudomonadaceae
Description: bacterial SSU rRNA
Rfam family: Bacterial small subunit ribosomal RNA
Source: RNAcentral